AUGCGUAGAUAUCUGGGAGAACGCCGAUGGCGAAGGCAGCUUGCUGGGUCGCGUCUGACGCUGAGGCCCGAAAGCUAGGGGAGCGAACAGGAUUAGAUACCCUGGUAGUCCUAGCCGUAAACGAUGGGCACUACGUUCCGGAGGGCCUGAUCCCUUCGAAGCGUGAGUUAACGCAUUAAGUGCCCCGCCUGGGGAGUAUGGUCGCAAGGCUAAAACUCAAAGGAAUUGACGGGGGCUCACACAAGCGGUGGAGCAUGUUGUUCAAUUCGAAGCAACGCGAAGAACCUUACCUGGGCUUGACAUGCUAGUAGUACGAACCCGAAAGGGGGAGGACUCUUAACCGAGAGCUAGCACAGGUGCUGCAUGGCUGUCGUCAGCUCGUGUCGUGAGACGUUGGGUUAAGUCCCGUAACGAGCGAAACCCUUGUUGUCUGUUGCCAUCGGGUCAUGCCGGGCACUCUGGCAAGACUGCCGGUCCUAAACCGGAGGAAGGCGGGGACGACGUCAAGUCAUCAUGGUCCUUACGUCCAGGGCUACAAACGUGCUACAAUGGCCAGUAUAGAGAGAAGCGAGACCGCGAGGUGGAGCAAAUCUUCAAAGCUGGCCCCAGUUCGGAUUGGAGGCUGCAAUUCGCCUCCAUGAAGUUGGAAUCGCUAGUAAUCGCCAUCCCAACCGCGGUGAUAUGUCCGAGCCUGUACACACCGCCCGUCAAGCCACCCAAGCUGGAGCACCCAAAGUCAGCGCC
This 744-nucleotide ribosomal RNA is filed under the name uncultured organism. RNAcentral's name for it is "bacterial SSU rRNA". It matches the Rfam family "Bacterial small subunit ribosomal RNA", at positions 686 to 1434 of the family's 1533-position model. The record is from RNAcentral.